GACACAAUGAGGAUAUUUAAAACACUUAUAGGGAUAUUUAUCCACGAUACACUUGUUUAAUAUAUUAAAUUUUGAAGAGAUAUUUCUUCAAUGAAUAUAUUAUAUGAAAUAUCCUAAAAAGAUAGGAA
Octopus sinensis (East Asian common octopus) is the source of this 128-nucleotide long non-coding RNA. RefSeq lists it as uncharacterized. NCBI's taxonomy places the organism in Eukaryota, Metazoa, Mollusca, Cephalopoda, Octopoda, Octopodidae. The transcript has 3 exons. The record is from RefSeq and is a predicted model, not a curated record.